This 4055-nucleotide long non-coding RNA is filed under the name Manihot esculenta (cassava). RNAcentral's name for it is "long non-coding RNA (MESC_LNC007702)". The record is from RNAcentral. Lineage: Eukaryota; Viridiplantae; Streptophyta; Magnoliopsida; Malpighiales; Euphorbiaceae.
UACCUAACCCUCUUAAUUUAUAGCUUUUCCCAAAAAGUGCAACUUAAACUUAGCAUUAACAAAUAAUAAUUAAGUAUAAAAUUUUGUAUCAAGUUAUUUUAUAAUUAAUUUAAUUAAUUAUAAUGUAUUUUAGUAAAAUAAAUUUCUGAAAUAUAGUUUAAAAUAAGAAAAAUCACAAUCUUAAUAGAUAAAAGGCACUAAUAACAAUUCAAGGCAUAAUUUUAACUCAAACUAACAACAUUGUGAGCUUUAGUCAACAAAUACAGAAAAAGAAAAGCUAAAAACAGCAAAUAAUAAAAACAAGGGAAAAUUACUUUUUAGUCUAUCAGGUAUGUGUCCCUCUAUUUUUAGCAUCGAACACUUUAGUCUUUGAGGUUUUGUUAAAUCCAAAUUAGAGAUCUUUCUGUUAAAAAUACUGGAAAAAUGACCAGAUUACCGCCUUUAUUUCUCAUUAUACUUGUAUUGAAUUUGAGAAGUAAGAAUUUGAGGAUCCUACCUCCUAAAUUUGAACCAUAAGCAUCAAAAUUCUGAUUUUCAAAAUGGUUUUUAAAAUUAAAUUCAACAAUGCCCUGAUUGCAAAACCUUCAAUAAUCAAACUCAAUAAAAAAUCUCUUUCAGAUAAACUAUCAAAUACCUCCUUUGCAUUUGGUGAAUGUGAUUCCACCUUUUUGAGUCGUGAACUUAUGAAAUUUGAGCUGUCUGUUUUUUUUUUCUUCUCAUUCUCAAACUUUUGCUGUAAGAGUUUGAUUUGAACCACUAGGAUAAUUUCUUCUUUGGUGAUGCUGUAAGGAGUGAAAAUAUCGAGCAAGGAAAAUUAAUCGGGAUCUUUUGAUUUUUUUUCCUCAAUGGCUAUUCCACUAGUUUAACUGAGUUUGUUCUCCUCUCUGUUAUUGUGUUUCCAGUCCUUUUAUUCUCCUUGCAUUCAAAGACCCAUCAUGUUGAGUACUCAGCUGCAUCUCCUCUUAAACCUUUAAUUACAGCCCAUAUUACUCAUUAUAGCUCUCAACAUUGAUGACCCAUUUUAAGGAACUCCCUCAUAAACCCAUUUCUCCUCUCCUUCAUCACAGCCAUCUCCCAUCUCAAUUGAAUCUUGCCUUCUCCAAAACUGAACCAAAUAUAUGUUUCUUAUUUCACAAAAAGCCACGUCCUUAGAGUGGUUGCAAGUCAACUACCUCGCCACAACUUACGCUAUAUCACCAAGUACAAUUACCGAAAAAACCCACAGUUGAUGAUCAAGAAACCACCGGUAAGGAAGAUAAGCUCACUCAUCGAUAAGGAAGACCCAUCAGUGGUAUAGGUUGUUGGAUUUGGAAUUGGUUUCAAUCUCUUCAAUAAAUCUCUUUGAUUGUGUGGAUUAUUGGAUUGGGAACUGGUGUGAAUGUCUGGUUUUGGAAAUUGAAUGAAUGAGAAUGAGACGAGUGAAAGAGAGUGAGAGAGAGGAGGAGAAUUUUAGGGAUUUGAUGGUAUAUUUGGGAUUAAAUUUUAUUUUUUUCUUUUUAUUAAAUUUAUAUAUUUAUUUAACAGAUUCUUUUGAUAGAAGGAUGUAAUUUGGACGGAAUAAAACCUCAGGGACUAAAGUGUACGAUGCUAAAAAUAAAGGGACAUAUCUUGAGGGACUAAAAAUUAAUUUUCCUAAAAAUAAAAGCAAAAGCCAAAAAAAUAAACUUGCAUUUUAGAAGAAAGAACUAUGAAGUAGAGGUAGUUUAUAAUGAAUCUGAGCUUAUAGGAUUAGGAAGAAAUAUGUAGGAAGAAUGAGUUAUCUGAGUGAAAAAAGAGGAGAGAUUUUGGAAAAAAAAAAAAAAAAAAAGAAAGAAAGAAAGAAAGAAAGAAAGAGGUGGUCUGGAGCUUGUGGGAAUGCUUAAUGCAUUUCCUUCUUCUAUUUGGCAUGUGAUUUAAGGGGAUGUAUUAUUGGUAACUGCUGUUACCGUAAUGUAACAGCCGUUGGACCUACAGAUUUUUGGGGGGCCUAUAAAUAACCGGGCAACGAAAAACAGCCCCCUGAAAUCCCAUUACAUGAUGGUUGUUAUUUGGUGUCCACAACUCCUCUAGAUAGUUUAUUUCUUUAUCCUUUAUUGCUCUUGUUUUACACACUGCUUGGUUCAACUCCAAUUGAAUUUCAUAUUUUAUAUACUCCUUUGUCCCACAAAUAUAGGCCUAUAGUUAUUUUCACAUGGAUUAGGAAAAUGUAGUUAAUGUAGUUAAAGUAAUAAUUCUAUAUUGUUUCUUUCUAAUAUACCUCUAUUCAUUUUACUUCAUUACUAAAUUAUUCUUAGAACUAAUAUAUUUUACUUUUUCAAUGUAUAUUAAAUAAAACUAUAUUAGGAAGUUAAUAACUAAAUUACCAUCUCAAAAAGGAAAGUAACCUUUAAUGUGGGAUGGAUAAAAAGGGGAAGCAAGACUAUCUUUAUGGAACAAAGAGAGUAUUUGGUUUUAAUAAAAAUUAGAAUUCAAUUUUAGGAAUUUAAUUCUAUGAAUAACUAACACCAAUUCGAUCAAUGAAAAUUCAACAAAUUUUUAUAACAAUAUUUGUUGGACUAAAAUUCUUAUAUGUAAAAAAAAAUCCCAAUCAUCUAUCUUCUUAUAUUUAUUAAUUACAUAACUAAGUAAAAUUUAUUAUUUUUGUCCUAAUAUUGUAAUAUUUAAGCUUAUGUUGCAUUUACUGGUGACAUUUCUUAUGUUAUAUAAAUCUCCUAUUUUAUGAGACAUGUGACUUUAUAUUGUUUAAUGGGUUUAUACUUUUUUUAAAUGUUGUAAAUAUAUUAGUAUAUAUUUUUAUAAAAGUAGAAAAUUAUAUAUAUAUAUAUUUAUAAAUUUUACUGAUAGUUUAGGAAAUGAGAGCACAUGAAUUUCAAUUAUGAAAGUAUACCAAACAUGAAUUAAUUAUAUGAAAUUUAAUUGAAAUUUUAAGUUGUGUCAUGCAAAAUAGCGGAAUUCGUUUUAAAUUAAAUAAUUCUAGCUAGAAUUUUAAUUGAAUUCCAGAAAAUUUUGUGGAAUGAAAUUAAACCAAACACUACAUCAGUGAGGCCCGAACUCUGUUUCCAUGUGUUUUGCAGGCAGAGACAAGAUGAUAAGUGGGAGCAUGAUCUCUAUGAGGAGGAUGAACCAAAUGCUUCAAGUAUGGAUUGACUGUGACAAAAUCACAUCCAACUAAAAUUGCUGCUAUUGUUGGAUGCAACUAAACAACUAUAUUUGCUUUUUGACUUUUUGUUAAUGGCUUGUGAAGAUCGCAAAGUCAGUUCUCAAGAUCUUCGACUGAAGCUUCAGAAAAAGAGUCUUCCACAACAAUCAUCACAAAGUGGAAAGGGGUCUGGUGUGCGGGAUUUACGUGAAAAGCUAUCUGGGACUAUGAAUUCACAACCGGUGAAUGCUGAUCCACCUAAGAGAAACUUGGAAGUUGCCAAACCAGCUAGGAAAAGUGUCACAGUUGAAGCUCCUGAGCCAGAGAUUAAAAAGGUUGCUAGUGUAGCGCUUAAAACAAAGUCUCAGCAGAAGGCAUGUAUUUACUUUUUCUUCCUCCAAUUUUUGAUGAGAAGCUACGUUAGUUAUGCAUUUUCUAUUUUGUUCACAUGAUGUGCUGCCUUAAUCAAAAGGCCUGUUAGAAGGACAGUUCUCUUGAUGGUUGUCUCAUGAUAUUGUAUAUUCAGUAAAUUUUCUUUAUGUACAAUGAAUUUUGACCUGACAAAUAUGAAUGUGGGAGCGUGCCUGGAUUUUGAAAAUGACAUUACAGAGGAGCAAAACUCCGGAUUGGACAUGUGACUUUUAAGAUAACAAAAGAAAAAAUGGGAAACCCUGCUUAGUUAAUGUUUUAUGUGAAAAAGAGAUUACUUCAAAGCUGUGACUUGUGAGUCUAGCAGGUAGUGAACUAUUAUUUUUGAAAAGCAUGGCAAGCAUUUGUAAUAAAGUUGAAGGUUGUUUACAGAUUUGCAAUUCAUCUACUUCAUCAAAAAUAGAUGAACAAAGGUUAUCAUGGAAAUGCAGUUUUAUUAUUACUUGAUACAUUUAAUUUUUCUUAUGUGUUAGCAAUUCUUUCAUGCUGGCUUUACUCUAGAGGAGUU